UAAUGAUGACUCCAAUGAAGAUACUGUAUCUGGUCAGGCUAGCAAUGCAACAAUUGUUUUUUUUUUAUACCAUUUGCAUGUCACAAUACAUUCAAGUGAAAAUUAGCAAUAAUUCAUAAAUUUCGAAUGGUAAUACUCAGAUAACAGCUCAAGUCAUUAUGCCCAAAAUCUCUUGUUUCAUUGUCUGCUUUUCCUAAUUUUAUUUUUCAGUAAAUAAUUUUUUAGGAACCACGCUCAAUUUGAAUUAAAAAUCAGUGUAUUGUAGAAUUAUCAUGUGAAUCUUGUGUUCAAUAAGAGAUUCCAGAGUGGAACGUUAUUUCAAAUUUUCUAUAUUUUUAAUUACAGUUUUAUUUUCAGAAUAUUCUGAUGCUGGAUUGGAUCAUAAUGAAGAAAACAGUACAUAUGAAAACGAUGAAGAAAUUGCACAAAGCAAAAAUAAUAAUGAUGACUCCAAUGAAGAUAAUGUAUCUGAAUAUUAUGAUGAAAAUGUGAAUAAGGCGAGAAGGAAUGACACUUCUCUGGAAAGUGCGAUAUAAAAUAAAUCCAAAAUACGAAAAAUAAAAGUAAGAGAUAUUUCUGCAUAAGUAUAUUGCAAGAAGUUGGUCACAAAGUUUGCCAGACAUAUCGAGACUGUUCAUAAAGAUUGCAUCGAAGUGAAGAAGUUGCUGCUUUUACCAAAAGGUUACAAAGAACGUCAGGAAGAAAUUUCUUCACUUAGGAAGAAAGGCAACUUUGAGUUCAAUACAAAAAACGCCUACAAUAAUGGCCAACUUCUUGUCACCAGAAGACCUCAAAUUAAAUUAAAAAAAAAUUUCAACGAUUAUCAGGUUUGUCUGCAUUGCAGGGGGUUUUAUUCUGAAACUGGCAUCAGAAGACUCAAAUGAAAAGAAGAUGCAGUUGUGCACAAAAAAGCAGAUACUGUUUUGAAAAACAUCAUCAUUCUUAAACUGAGGGAUGAUGAUGUAUCGUGAAUAAUAAGGUAUGAUGAAUUGGCCAUAAUUUAAUGUAAUUCUUUAUGCAGAAAAUACCGAAAACUUCAUCUAAAUUACUUCAUACGAUCAAAAUUGAGACUGAUCGGUCGCCUUAUGACUGAGGUAAAAAAAAUUAUUAGAGCCAUCACGGAUUUUGCAUCCAUUUAUGAACCAUGCUAUUAUGAUGAUGUAGUGUUAAAGGUGUGAAUAUUGCAAAGAAGAAGAAUGAGGCUGGAAAAAACAGGGAUACUGUUAUAUGUGGCAUGAAGCAAUCGCAUCUCGAGGUACAUGUGAAAUUAGUAGCUGCGUUUUGGAAUAUAUCAAACAAAAAGCACUAGAGGGUUGCAAGGACAAUUCGGACAAUUGUGCGGGCCAAAACAAAAAUAAAUUUGUUCAUGUUAUGCUCCUAUAUGCUGUUGUUAAGUAUAAAAUGAAGAUUACUUUACAUUUCAUGGAGGUAGGACAUACCCAAAACGAAGGCGACUCGAUGCACAGUGCAAUUGAAACAUGUGCUAGAAGAAUACCUAUCUAUAACCCUGGGCAAUGGUACACGAUUGCACGGAUGGCAUGCAUAAAAAAGCCUAAUAUCGUAAAAGAAAUGAAUCAAGUCGACUUUUUCGAUUUGAAAGAUCCAUUGCUUAAAACUACAAUGAAAAUAUAUAAAGAUGAUUGUGGGAAAAUAUAUAAAGAUGAUUGUGGAAAUGUUGUAAAAUGGUCUGGGGUCAGUUGCGUUCAAGUUGAUUACCCAAAACCAAAUAUUUUUAAACUCGAAUACAGGCUUCAAGAGAAAUUUUUUGAAACUAACGUAACAGAUCGCUCAAGGAAGAAGCUAAUAAGCUUUUUACACAUGAAGAACAAUAAUCAUAAAAAAGAAAAAGAGAAGUAUAAACCUUUGGCGGCGAUUUUCUAGACUUCCCGCGAAAUUGAAAGUGGUACGAGUCAACACUGAAUUCCGAAACAAACAUUGAAUUAACCUUUACUUACGAAUGUCCUUCGUUUCCAGGAUCCUUGGGAUUAAUUUUGCAAAUAUAACAAUAUCUCACCAUUUUAAAAACUUUUCUUUAAUAAAUAUCAGAAUAUUUAGUCUGCGAAAUACUGCCAAUAGAAGUUAAUUCGAAAAUAAUUUCAGCUGUCGACAAAUUAAACAGGUAAACAUUUCGAGCGCACGGAGUGCAAAUUGUGACGCAUUUCAAAUGUUUUUUUUUUCUUCUGAAAUUUCAAGACAAAAUAUUGACCUUGUCGAUUACAGCAAAUUUUUAAUUCAUUAAACUUGGAAUAUUAAGGCUUUCCUUACACGUUUCAAUCUCUGUAUUAGUGAUUUUCCAGCUCAAUUUCUCGAUACUCAGUUUUUUCUGUUUCCGAAACAUACGCGAUAUGCCUGAACGUCGCAUAGAUUUGGCGACAAAGAAAAUAAACAAACUUGAUGUUUUUCCCCAGUAAAUUGUGAACAUACUUGGUCUAUCUUCCUUUAUAAGUAUAAUAUAUAGGUAUGAAUCAGUUCUUUGAAAAAAAAUUAUAUUUAUUAUCUUCCACCAUGAAUUGAAAAAAAAUGGUAUCAUCCCAAUUAAUCAAAGCUUUAAAAAAAUUAUUUUGCAGCUUCUCAAAAACUCCACAUUGAGGGGGAUCAACUGGCUCUUGAAUCUGAU
Long non-coding RNA from Coccinella septempunctata (seven-spotted ladybird), 2617 nucleotides. RefSeq lists it as uncharacterized. The record is from RefSeq and is a predicted model, not a curated record. NCBI's taxonomy places the organism in Eukaryota, Metazoa, Arthropoda, Insecta, Coleoptera, Coccinellidae. The transcript has 3 exons.